RNAcentral lists this unclassified non-coding RNA (204 nucleotides) under uncultured Sebacina. RNAcentral's name for it is "sequence contains ITS1". The record is from RNAcentral. Lineage: Eukaryota; Fungi; Basidiomycota; Agaricomycetes; Sebacinales; Sebacinaceae.
GUGAAUCUUCAAAGUCGGCUCGUCGGAUUGUGCUGGUGGAGACACAUGUGCACAUCUGCGAGUCGCAAAUCCACACACCUGUGCAUCUAUGACUCUGAGUGCCGCUUUGCAUGGCCUUUUGACCGAGGCCUGGCGCUCGAGUACUUUCACACACUCUAUGAAUGUAACGGAAUGUCUUGUUGUGCGUAACGUACAAAAAAGAAA